Molecule: ribosomal RNA, 257 nt
Filed under: uncultured prokaryote
Description: partial 16S ribosomal RNA
Rfam family: Bacterial small subunit ribosomal RNA
Source: RNAcentral
UACAUAGGUGGCAAGCGUUAUCCGGAAUUAUUGGGCGUAAAGAGCGCGCAGGUGGUUGAUUAAGUCUGAUGUGAAAGCCCACGGCUUAACCGUGGAGGGUCAUUGGAAACUGAUCGACUUGAGUGCAGAAGAGGGAAGUGGAAUUCCAUGUGUAGCGGUGAAAUGCGUAGAGAUAUGGAGGAACACCAGUGGCGAAGGCGGCUUCCUGGUCUGUAACUGACACUGAGGCGCGAAAGCGUGGGGAGCAAACAGGAUUA